RNAcentral lists this ribosomal RNA (1289 nucleotides) under Tropisternus sp. BYU-CO166. RNAcentral's name for it is "large subunit ribosomal RNA". The stretch from base 1049 to 1207 matches the Rfam family "Archaeal large subunit ribosomal RNA", at positions 2542 to 2701 of the family's 2987-position model. The record is from RNAcentral. Lineage: Eukaryota; Metazoa; Arthropoda; Insecta; Coleoptera; Hydrophilidae.
AUUUAAAAUUUUAUUUAUAUUUAGUUUUUUAUUUUAUUUUGUUUAAAAUAAUAUUUGUUUUUAGUAAUUUUUAUUGAAUCAAUUAUUUUAAUUAUAGUGUAUUAGUAUAGUGUUAGAAAUAUUUUAAAUUUAAAAAAGAAUAAUUUAUUUUUAGUACCUUGUGUAUCAGGGUUUAUUAAUUAAAUUUAUUGGAUUUUAAUUUCUCGAAUUAAAAAGAGCUAAAUUAUUAUUUAUUUUUAUUGUUGAAUAAAUAUUUAAAAUAAUUUUUUGGUAAUGAAACGUUAUUCGUUUUUUAAUAUAUCUAGUUUCUUAAGAAAUGAAUUUAAUUCAGAAUAUUAUUUAAAUUUUAUAUUUUUUUAUUUUGUUUAAUUUAAUAUUUUAAUAGUUUUAGGGAUGAGCUUAAAAAUUAAAUUUUUAUAACUUAGUUAUUUUUUAAAAGAUAAAUAGGAUUAGAAUUUUUUAUUUUUUAUAAUAUUUAAUAAUUAGUCUUUUUGUUUUAAGAUUUAUAUUAAGUUUAAGUUUUAUAUUAAGAAGUUUAAUUUAAUUUAAUAGUUGAAUUUAUAAUGAUAGAAUUAGUAUAAAUUAUUUUAUUUUGUAUUAAUAAUUGUAAGGUUAAGCAAAGGAAUUCGGCAAUCUUUUUUUCACCUGUUUAUUAAAAACAUGGCUUUUUGUUAAAUAUAUAAGGUCUGGCCUGCCCAAUGAUUGAUUCAAUGGCCGCAGUAUUUUGACUGUGCAAAGGUAGCAUAAUCAUUAGUUCUUUAAUUGAGGACUGGAAUGAAUGGUCGGAUGAGAAAAAAACUGUCUCUGUUUAAAUUUUUUAUAACUUUAUUUUUAAGUUAAAAAGCUUAAAUUUUGUUUAAAGACGAGAAGACCCUAUAGAGUUUAAUAAAUUAAAAUGAUUUUUUGUUUUUAAGAAUUAAAUUUUUUAAAGUUGUUUAUUUAUUUGAUUGGGGUGAUUAGAAAAUUAAUUUAACUUUUCUUUAUUUUUUACAUUAAUUUAUGUUUAAUUGAUCCAAUUAUUUUGAUUAAAAGAGUAAAUUACCUUAGGGAUAACAGCGUAAUUUUUUUGGAGAGUUCUUAUCAAUAAAAGAGUUUGCGACCUCGAUGUUGGAUUAAAAUUUAGAACUGGUGCAGAAGCUAGUUUAUUAGGUCUGUUCGACCUUUAAAAUUUUACAUGAUCUGAGUUUAAACCGGUGUGAGCCAGGUUGGUUUCUAUCUUAAUUUGAUUUUAAUGAUUUAGUACGAAAGGACCGAUUAUUAGUAAAAUUUAUUUUUUUUUGAAUAUUAAU